RNAcentral lists this ribosomal RNA (634 nucleotides) under Junceella sp. C5689. RNAcentral's name for it is "SSU rRNA". It matches the Rfam family "Eukaryotic small subunit ribosomal RNA", at positions 568 to 1209 of the family's 1831-position model. RNAcentral also lists the same sequence under 1 other name. The record is from RNAcentral. Lineage: Eukaryota; Metazoa; Cnidaria; Anthozoa; Scleralcyonacea; Ellisellidae.
CAGCAGCCGCGGUAAUUCCAGCUCCAAUAGCGUAUACUAAAGCUGUUGCAGUUAAAAAGCUCGUAGUUGGAUUUCGGGUCGGCGUGGUCGGUCAGCCGCAAGGUAUGUUACUGGUCGCGCUCUCCUUCUUCGCCAAGACUACGUGUGCUCUUAAUUGAGUGUGCGCAGGAUUUGCGACGUUUACUUUGAAAAAAUUAGAGUGUUCAAAGCAGGCUCGUGCUUGAAUACAUAAGCAUGGAAUAAUGGAAUAGGACUUUGGUUCUAUUUUGUUGGUUUCUAGAACCGAAGUAAUGAUUAAUAGAGACAGUUGGGGGCAUUCGUAUUUCGUUGUCAGAGGUGAAAUUCUUGGAUUUACGAAAGACGAACUAAUGCGAAAGCAUUUGCCAAGAAUGUUUUCGUUAAUCAAGAACGAAAGUUAGAGGAUCGAAGACGAUCAGAUACCGUCCUAGUUCUAACCAUAAACGAUGCCGACUAGGGAUCGGCGGGUGUUAUUGUAUGACCCCGUUGGCACCUUAUGGGAAACCAAAGUUUUUGGGUUCCGGGGGAAGUAUGGUUGCAAAGCUGAAACUUAAAGGAAUUGACGGAAGGGCACCACCAGGAGUGGAGCCUGCGGCUUAAUUUGACUCAACACGGG